AUUGAACGCUGGCGGCAGGCCUAACACAUGCAAGUCGAGCGGUAGAGAGAAGCUUGCUUCUCUUGAGAGCGGCGGACGGGUGAGUAAUGCCUAGGAAUCUGCCUGGUAGUGGGGGAUAACGUUCGGAAACGAACGCUAAUACCGCAUACGUCCUACGGGAGAAAGCAGGGGACCUUCGGGCCUUGCGCUAUCAGAUGAGCCUAGGUCGGAUUAGCUAGUUGGUGAGGUAAUGGCUCACCAAGGCGACGAUCCGUAACUGGUCUGAGAGGAUGAUCAGUCACACUGGAACUGAGACACGGUCCAGACUCCUACGGGAGGCAGCAGUGGGGAAUAUUGGACAAUGGGCGAAAGCCUGAUCAGCCAUGCCGCGUGAGUGAUGAAGGCUUCGGUUGUAACUAGCUUUGUACGGUAACGGAAACGGUA
This 423-nucleotide ribosomal RNA is filed under the name uncultured bacterium. RNAcentral describes it as "bacterial SSU rRNA". It matches the Rfam family "Bacterial small subunit ribosomal RNA", at positions 30 to 456 of the family's 1533-position model. The record is from RNAcentral.